RNAcentral lists this ribosomal RNA (470 nucleotides) under uncultured bacterium. RNAcentral's name for it is "bacterial SSU rRNA". It matches the Rfam family "Bacterial small subunit ribosomal RNA", at positions 331 to 793 of the family's 1533-position model. The record is from RNAcentral.
CCAGACUCCUACGGGAGGCAGCAGUGGGGAAUAUUGCGCAAUGGGCGAAAGCCUGACGCAGCGACGCCGCGUGAGGGAUGAAGGUUCUCGGAUCGUAAACCUCUGUCAGAAGGGAAGAAAUUAUAUCAUGCUAAUCAGCGGUGUAUUGACGGUACCUGACUAAGAAGCCCCGGCUAACUACGUGCCAGCAGCCGCGGUAAUACGUAGGGGGCAAGCGUUAUCCGGAUUUACUGGGUGUAAAGGGAGCGUAGACGGCAUGGCAAGUCAGAUGUGAAAGCCCGGGGCUCAACCCCGGGACUGCAUUUGAAACUGUCAGGCUGGAGUGCAGGAGAGGUAAGUGGAAUUCCUAGUGUAGCGGUGAAAUGCGUAGAUAUUAGGAGGAACACCAGUGGCGAAGGCGGCUUACUGGACUGUAACUGACGUUGAGGCUCGAAAGCGUGGGGAGCAAACAGGAUUAGAUACCCGUGUAC